Molecule: non-coding RNA, 74 nt
Organism: Parelaphostrongylus tenuis
Lineage: Eukaryota; Metazoa; Nematoda; Chromadorea; Rhabditida; Metastrongylidae
Source: the annotation of a GenBank genome assembly
ACCUUUUUGAUGGUGUAGUGGUAGCACGCUCAUCUCCAAACGGUGAAAGGCGGGUUCGAUUCCCGCCUGAGGUC